This 98-nucleotide non-coding RNA is filed under the name human gut metagenome. Its description in RNAcentral is "THF riboswitch". It matches the Rfam family "THF (Tetrahydrofolate) riboswitch aptamer". From Rfam's summary of the family: THF riboswitch presents a pseudoknot that joins P1-P2 and the loop of P3 and two THF binding. The record is from RNAcentral.
GCAGAGUAGACGACCGUGCGUAAAGUGCCGUUGGGACGGGAGUUGCCCAACGGACGAAGGAUUUUUCGAACCGCGGUUCGGCCGUCGCAUCCCGCUGC